Molecule: ribosomal RNA, 3028 nt
Filed under: Salmonella enterica subsp. enterica serovar Antsalova str. S01-0511
Lineage: Bacteria; Pseudomonadati; Pseudomonadota; Gammaproteobacteria; Enterobacterales; Enterobacteriaceae
Description: bacterial LSU rRNA
Rfam family: Bacterial large subunit ribosomal RNA
Source: RNAcentral
GGGUUGUGAGGUUAAGCGACUAAGCGUACACGGUGGAUGCCCUGGCAGUCAGAGGCGAUGAAGGACGUGCUAAUCUGCGAUAAGCGCCGGUAAGGUGAUAUGAACCGUUAUAACCGGCGAUUUCCGAAUGGGGAAACCCAGUGUGACUCGUCACACUAUCAUUAACUGAAUCCAUAGGUUAAUGAGGCGAACCGGGGGAACUGAAACAUCUAAGUACCCCGAGGAAAAGAAAUCAACCGAGAUUCCCCCAGUAGCGGCGAGCGAACGGGGAGGAGCCCAGAGCCUGAAUCAGCAUGUGUGUUAGUGGAAGCGUCUGGAAAGGCGCGCGAUACAGGGUGACAGCCCCGUACACAAAAGCGCAUGUGCUGUGAGCUCGAUGAGUAGGGCGGGACACGUGGUAUCCUGUCUGAAUAUGGGGGGACCAUCCUCCAAGGCUAAAUACUCCUGACUGACCGAUAGUGAACCAGUACCGUGAGGGAAAGGCGAAAAGAACCCCGGCGAGGGGAGUGAAAAAGAACCUGAAACCGUGUACGUACAAGCAGUGGGAGCCCCACCACUAAGCCAGUGGUGAACUCCACAUACGCAUCCUUUGCUGAGGAUACGGUUAACGGAGCGAAAGCGACGUUCAACCUCAAAAGAAGCAGAGGGGGCUUAGUGGUGGGGUGACUGCGUACCUUUUGUAUAAUGGGUCAGCGACUUAUAUUCUGUAGCAAGGUUAACCGAAUAGGGGAGCCGGAGGGAAACCGAGUCUUAAUUGGGCGUUAAGUUGCAGGGUAUAGACCCGAAACCCGGUGAUCUAGCCAUGGGCAGGUUGAAGGUUGGGUAACACUAACUGGAGGACCGAACCGACUAAUGUUGAAAAAUUAGCGGAUGACCUGUGGCUGGGGGUGAAAGGCCAAUCAAACCGGGAGAUAGCUGGUUCUCCCCGAAAGCUAUUUAGGUAGCGCCUCGUGAAUUCAUCUCCGGGGGUAGAGCACUGUUUCGGCUAGGGGGCCAUCCCGGCUUACCAACCCGAUGCAAACUGCGAAUACCGGAGAAUGUUAUCACGGGAGACACACGGCGGGUGCUAACGUCCGUCGUGAAGAGGGAAACAACCCAGACCGCCAGCUAAGGUCCCAAAGUCAUGGUUAAGUGGGAAACGAUGUGGGAAGGCCCAGACAGCCAGGAUGUUGGCUUAGAAGCAGCCAUCAUUUAAAGAAAGCGUAAUAGCUCACUGGUCGAGUCGGCCUGCGCGGAAGAUGUAACGGGGCUAAACCAUGCACCGAAGCUGCGGCAGCGACGCUUAUGCGUUGUUGGGUAGGGGAGCGUUCUGUAAGCCUGUGAAGGUGUGUCGUGAGGCAUGCUGGAGGUAUCAGAAGUGCGAAUGCUGACAUAAGUAACGAUAAAGCGGGUGAAAAGCCCGCUCGCCGGAAGACCAAGGGUUCCUGUCCAACGUUAAUCGGGGCAGGGUGAGUCGACCCCUAAGGCGAGGCCGAAAGGCGUAGUCGAUGGGAAACGGGUUAAUAUUCCCGUACUUGGUGUUACUGCGAAGGGGGGACGGAGAAGGCUAUGUUGGCCGGGCGACGGUUGUCCCGGUUUAAGCGUGUAGGUGUGUGUUCCAGGUAAAUCCGGUUCACUUUAACACUGAGGCGUGAUGACGAGGCACUACGGUGCUGAAGCAACAAAUGCCCUGCUUCCAGGAAAAGCCUCUAAGCAUCAGGUAACAUCAAAUCGUACCCCAAACCGACACAGGUGGUCAGGUAGAGAAUACCAAGGCGCUUGAGAGAACUCGGGUGAAGGAACUAGGCAAAAUGGUGCCGUAACUUCGGGAGAAGGCACGCUGACACGUAGGUGAAGUGAUUUACUCAUGGAGCUGAAGUCAGUCGAAGAUACCAGCUGGCUGCAACUGUUUAUUAAAAACACAGCACUGUGCAAACACGAAAGUGGACGUAUACGGUGUGACGCCUGCCCGGUGCCGGAAGGUUAAUUGAUGGGGUCAGCGCAAGCGAAGCUCCUGAUCGAAGCCCCGGUAAACGGCGGCCGUAACUAUAACGGUCCUAAGGUAGCGAAAUUCCUUGUCGGGUAAGUUCCGACCUGCACGAAUGGCGUAAUGAUGGCCAGGCUGUCUCCACCCGAGACUCAGUGAAAUUGAACUCGCUGUGAAGAUGCAGUGUACCCGCGGCAAGACGGAAAGACCCCGUGAACCUUUACUAUAGCUUGACACUGAACAUUGAGCCUUGAUGUGUAGGAUAGGUGGGAGGCUUUGAAGUGUGGACGCCAGUCUGCAUGGAGCCGACCUUGAAAUACCACCCUUUAAUGUUUGAUGUUCUAACGUGGACCCGUGAUCCGGGUUGCGGACAGUGUCUGGUGGGUAGUUUGACUGGGGCGGUCUCCUCCUAAAGAGUAACGGAGGAGCACGAAGGUUGGCUAAUCCUGGUCGGACAUCAGGAGGUUAGUGCAAUGGCAUAAGCCAGCUUGACUGCGAGCGUGACGGCGCGAGCAGGUGCGAAAGCAGGUCAUAGUGAUCCGGUGGUUCUGAAUGGAAGGGCCAUCGCUCAACGGAUAAAAGGUACUCCGGGGAUAACAGGCUGAUACCGCCCAAGAGUUCAUAUCGACGGCGGUGUUUGGCACCUCGAUGUCGGCUCAUCACAUCCUGGGGCUGAAGUAGGUCCCAAGGGUAUGGCUGUUCGCCAUUUAAAGUGGUACGCGAGCUGGGUUUAGAACGUCGUGAGACAGUUCGGUCCCUAUCUGCCGUGGGCGCUGGAGAACUGAGGGGGGCUGCUCCUAGUACGAGAGGACCGGAGUGGACGCAUCACUGGUGUUCGGGUUGUCAUGCCAAUGGCACUGCCCGGUAGCUAAAUGCGGAAGAGAUAAGUGCUGAAAGCAUCUAAGCACGAAACUUGCCCCGAGAUGAGUUCUCCCUGAGACUUAGAGUCUCCUGAAGGAACGUUGAAGACGACGACGUUGAUAGGCCGGGUGUGUAAGCGCAGCGAUGCGUUGAGCUAACCGGUACUAAUGAACCGUGAGGCUUAACCUUACAACGCCGAAG